Prinia subflava (tawny-flanked prinia) is the source of this 723-nucleotide long non-coding RNA. RefSeq lists it as uncharacterized. The transcript has 2 exons. The record is from RefSeq and is a predicted model, not a curated record. NCBI's taxonomy places the organism in Eukaryota, Metazoa, Chordata, Aves, Passeriformes, Cisticolidae.
GCCAGUCCGGCCUUGGAGUGGAAAGCAAACAGUGAGCUGGAGACGGCUCUGGAGCUCAGCUCUGAAACCACCAGCUGGGAUUGUCCUGCUCUGGGGGAGAAUGUUCCCUGUGGGACCAGCCCUGCGCUGCAGGAAUCGCCCUCUGUCUGCAGUCCUGCAGCAGCUGGGCCGGGGGGGCUGCAGAGGAGCCCCAGGGGUGAGCAGACCUUGGCCCGGGGCACAGGGACCUGCUGGUGCAGCCCUGCCAGGCUCUGGGGCAGCCACUAUUCAUGACCUUGUGAAAUGUUGAACUUUGAGGACAACGGGAGCUGCAUUUCCAAACUCAAGGCUGUUUUCUCCAGCCUAGGACCAGAGGAUUUUUAUGCAGAGCUUUCUCAGUUUAACAAGAUCUCAGCAAUGGCCCUUCCUAAUUCCUGUAAUGCUCACUCAGCUCUUACUCAGGAGGACGUCCAGACGUGUGGAAAUGCUGGAAAUGCAACUCAUUAGCAACAGAAAUGGGGGUCCAUUAAUACAAAAGGUGUAAUAAUUUCAGUGAUCCUCUGAGAUCAUGAAGAGCCAACAUUGAGCACCCAAAACAAAUGGAACAAUGAAAGGCACCUGCCCAAAGAACUUCCACUUCAAGCAUACCUCUUGUUUUCUGGGAGAGCACUUGAUGCUAAGCAGUGCCCUACUUUGACAGGAAAUAAAACUGGUUGUUAAUUUUCAAUACUGAUGGCAAAAGGA